This 460-nucleotide ribosomal RNA is filed under the name uncultured bacterium. RNAcentral describes it as "partial 16S ribosomal RNA". It matches the Rfam family "Bacterial small subunit ribosomal RNA", at positions 338 to 795 of the family's 1533-position model. The record is from RNAcentral.
CCUACGGGGGGCAGCAGUGAGGAAUAUUGGUCAAUGGGCGUAAGCCUGAACCAGCCAAGUCGCGUUAGGGAUGAAGGUUCUAUGGAUCGUAAACCUCUUUUAUAAGGGAAUAAAGUGUGGGACGUGUCCUAUUUUGUAUGUACCUUAUGAAUAAGGAUCGGCUAACUCCGUACCAGCAGCCGCGGUAAUACGGAGGAUCCGAGCGUUAUCCGGAUUUAUUGGGUUUAAAGGGUGCGUAGGCGGCCUUUUAAGUCAGCGGUGAAAGUCUGUGGCUCAACCAUAGAAUUGCCGUUGAAACUGGGGGUCUUUAGUAUGGUUGGGGCAGGCGGAAUGCGUGGUGUAGCGGUGAAAUGCUUAGAUAUCACGCAGAACCCUGAUUGCGAAGGCAGCCUGCCAAGCCAUGACUGACGCUGAUGCACGAAAGCGUGGGGAUCAAACAGGAUUAGAUACCCCAGUAGUC